Molecule: long non-coding RNA, 1281 nt
Filed under: Lactuca sativa (garden lettuce)
Lineage: Eukaryota; Viridiplantae; Streptophyta; Magnoliopsida; Asterales; Asteraceae
Description: long non-coding RNA (LSAT_LNC009789)
Source: RNAcentral
CAAAAAUAAAAAAGAAAAAAAUAAAAAUAAAAUUCAAACGAAAGCCAACCACGAAAAACAGAACGCCAUAACCGCCGACGCCACCAAUCUUCCACCGCCACUUGCCGUUUGAUCCGCCGCAUCAUCAUCGCUGUAAUCAUCAGAAGAAUCCGGUCCCGGCGCAUCUGCUUCCUCCUCGGUGUCACCCUUCUUCGCCGGCUUCUUUUUCUUUUUCGCCGCCUUUGGCGCAGGCGCCGGCUCCUCCGCCUCCUCCACCGUACCCUUAAACAACUCUCUCGGCAAUAAAACCUUAUCGAUGGUGUAAAUGGCAAUCGGCUCUUCGUCGACCACCGUUCCGCUUAUUGUCGCCUUCACCACUUUCGUCUUCAAUGUCACAUCGUUGCCGUCGUUUUGUACAGUGAAAUCGUACUUCUUCUUAGCUCCUUCCGUCGCUAGAGUGUUCAUCAGUCCAUUGCUAGAUCUGAGCAUCCCCAUGGAGUUGUAAACCGGAACACCGUGGUAAAGCAACAAGGACGUCUUCUCCGACGCCGUCAAGUUCUUGUAUUUUGGGGCAAACGCCGCAAUAGCGUCGUCUCCAGGACAAAACACGGUGACUCCACCGUCGGCGGAGCUUAAAAACGUUCCGAUUGCUCCUGAGGUUGUUAACAGAUCGUAAAACGCUUGACAACCUUCUCGUUGUAACAAAGAGGUUAAGUUCAGAUCCGGUGCGGCAGUCGGAGCUUCAGCUUCCGGCGACUGUAGAAUCGCGCUGAUUUGGAUCACGGAGAUGUUGUAAGGCAUUUCCAAGAUGGAUUUGACAUAAGUGGUAUCGGUUUGACUUGGGUUGUCUUCAGGAGUGAACCGGACUUUACCACCUUUGAUGUCGGUGAUAUGAACGUAACCGGCGGUUCCUGGAGCUUCACCGGUGGCUUGAUACAUGGUGGCGGUGGAGGUGGAGCCUUUGGUGACUUGGUGGAGCUUUUUGGAGCCGAAGUAGUCGGCGAAGACAUGGAGGGAGAGGACAUUCUUUAUGGUCUGAAUUGAUAGUCCUUUUGAAAGUAAUGAAGACAUGGCGGCAUUGUCGACGGCGCAGACGGUGAUUGUCUGCCGGCGGUUGAUCUCAUUGGCGAGGUGAGUGAUGGUGAGGUAGUGGUUGAAAGUGGAAAAUUCGGGGUGUUUGGCGAGGAUGCGGGUGAUGUUGUGGCCGUGUACGGCGGCGGAGAUAGACAGGAGGAGAAGGAAGGAGAGAGAAAUCGCCGAUGGCGUCUGCAUUGCCGGAGAACAGGUGGAGGUGAAGGAUAA